CGUUGACUCCAAUUGAACCGCAGGCUUCACCCCUUGUGGUGCUCCCCCGCCAAUCCUUUAAGUUCAUACUUGCGUACGUACUUCCAAGGCGGCAGACUUAACGGCUUCCCUGCGGCACUGCAUUGGCCACAAGCCAAUGCAUCACCGAGUCUGCAUCGUUUACAGCUGGGACUACCCGGGUAUCUAAUCCGGUUUGCUCCCCCAGCUUUCAUCCCUCACCGUCGAACGUGUUCUGGUACACCGCCUUCGCCACAGGUGGUCUUCAAUAGAUCAAAGGAUUUUACCCCUUCCUAUCGAGUACCGUGUACCUCUCCCACUCCCUAGCUGCACAGUAUUUUCGGCGGCCUAUACGUUAAGCGCAUAGAUUUAACCGAAAACUUAUGCAACCGGCUACGGAUGCUUUAGGCCCAAUAAACCUCCUGACCACUCGAGGUGCUGGUUUUACCGCGGCGGCUGACACCAGAACUUGCCCACCCCUUAUUCACCAGUGAUUCUACAACUGACAAAAGACUCCUUUAGCAGGAGACACUCGGAUUAACCUUGUCGUGUUUUCGCACAUUGCAAAGGUUUCU
RNAcentral lists this ribosomal RNA (572 nucleotides) under uncultured archaeon. RNAcentral describes it as "partial 16S ribosomal RNA". The record is from RNAcentral.